CCUAUGGAGAGUACAAGAACUUGUGAGUAGUAUCUGCUUCGGCAGUGCGAAAGCAUACUCGAUGAAGUAGGAA
RNAcentral lists this non-coding RNA (73 nucleotides) under unclassified sequences. Its description in RNAcentral is "RAGATH-18 RNA". It matches the Rfam family "RAGATH-18 RNA". Rfam says of the family: Actinobacteria, Firmicutes, Fusobacteria, Thermotogae (1 example). Nearby to self-cleaving ribozyme genes The record is from Rfam by way of RNAcentral.